Molecule: long non-coding RNA, 287 nt
Organism: Solea senegalensis (Senegalese sole)
Lineage: Eukaryota; Metazoa; Chordata; Actinopteri; Pleuronectiformes; Soleidae
Exons: 2
Source: RefSeq, a predicted model, not a curated record
AUAUGGCUGCGAGGGAAAAUACAAAAACUUUACUUUUCUGUAAGAACAAGAAGCCAGCGGCGGAAUAAACGACGCCUGAGUACAAAAGCGUACCUCACUUCAUGAGUGGAUCCUGAGAGACAGGGGAAAGACGGUCGUCUUGUUUCACCUGUCUGUGUUGGUCAGGACAUGAGAAGAUUUUCAGCUCCUGUCUAUGAAGAGUCACUGUUGAUGCUCACAAUGAGCUAUAAUAAGUCGGAUUUUCUUUCUAUUAUCACUGCAGUAGUAUCAAUAAAAAUUCAAAUUCA